RNAcentral lists this ribosomal RNA (203 nucleotides) under uncultured bacterium. RNAcentral describes it as "partial 16S ribosomal RNA". It matches the Rfam family "Bacterial small subunit ribosomal RNA", at positions 1300 to 1500 of the family's 1533-position model. The record is from RNAcentral.
GUAGUCUGCAACUCGACUACAUGAAGCUGGAAUCGCUAGUAAUCGCGAAUCAGAAUGUCGCGGCGAAUACGUUCCCGGGUCUUGUACACACCGCCCGUCACACCAUGGGAGUCAGCAACGCCCGAAGCCGGUGACCCAACCGAAAGGAGGGGAGCCGUCGAAGGGUGGGGCCGAUAACUGGGGUGAAGUCGUAACAAGGUAUC